UGAGGAAUAUUGGUCAAUGGGGGGAACCCUGAACCAGCCAUCCCGCGUGCAGGAAGACAGUUCUAUGGAUUGUAAACUGCUUUUCUUGGGGAAGAAUCAUGACGACGUGUCGUCAGAUGACGGUACCCGAGGAAUAAGCAUCGGCUAACUCCGUGCCAGCAGCCGCGGUAAUACGGAGGAUACAAGCGUUAUCCGGAUUUAUUAGGUUUAAAGGGUGUGUAGGCGGCUGUAUAAGUCAGUGGUGAAAGUCAGCAGCUUAACUGUAGAAUUGCCAUUGAUACUGUAUGUCUUGAGUGUGGUGGAGGUAGUCGGAAUGUGUAGUGUAGCGGUGAAAUGCAUAGAGAUUACACAGAACACCGAUUGCGAAGGCAGCAUACUAAGCCACAACUGACGCUGAUGCACGAAAGCGUGGGGAUCAAACA
This 422-nucleotide ribosomal RNA is filed under the name uncultured prokaryote. Its description in RNAcentral is "bacterial SSU rRNA". It matches the Rfam family "Bacterial small subunit ribosomal RNA", at positions 355 to 774 of the family's 1533-position model. The record is from RNAcentral.